Mercenaria mercenaria is the source of this 5147-nucleotide long non-coding RNA. RefSeq lists it as uncharacterized. The record is from RefSeq and is a predicted model, not a curated record. NCBI's taxonomy places the organism in Eukaryota, Metazoa, Mollusca, Bivalvia, Venerida, Veneridae. The transcript has 2 exons.
GAAAAACCAGUCCGAUUUGGUUUUUAUGUCAGAGAAAUGGUGCAGAGGUUAUAUUGUACUAGUCAAGUAUUAGAUGAUACAACAAACAAGGGAAAUAAAUAUUCAUAUAUAUAUUAUGACCUAGUAGCUUGUAUAGGUCAGAUGUUUGAGACAAGACACUGAAAGUCCAACAAAUAAUCCAUUUAAGAUGCCUACAUGUAGACAAUUUACAUUAAUUACAUACAACAUUAUGCAAUAUCCAAAACAUGUAGCAGUCACACAAUGCACUAGGAUAAUUGAUAUUUUAACAAUGUGAAUUCAAUUCUACACAGUAAAUACAUAUUUACCCAGCCUAACAGGAGUUAAUGAAAGAUGCCAAUCAAAGGAAAGUUCUCUAGGGCUACCAAUAUCGGCCUUUAAGCAUGUUUUUUUUUUUACAGAUGAUGGAAACAUUUUCUAUCUGUCUAAAAUGUAUAACUAUCCAAACUUAUAUUGGACAGAUGUCAGUAAUUGGUCGGAAUGAAAACAGAAAGAUCCCCAAAGGACCAAUGUCUGACCAAUAUAAAAAUAUUAACCACGUCAAUUUAUUUCAGCGACAGCAUUGUUCUUUGUGUGGAAAAAAACCUCAUGUUUUUAUGUCUUCCGUUUAUUUCCUGGCUGCAUGAAUAAAAAAAUGUUUAAAAAAAUAAAAGAUAUAAAAUCUGCCCAAAAGAGGUGAAUGUGAGGCGACAGGAUAAAUAGAACUUGAUCAAGUACAAUGUUGGGAUCAUUGUCCAAUGUAGUCGCUGUUUAAUAAAUAACACUAUGUAAUAAUGAAUUAUUUUAAAAAAAAUAAACAUGUUAUUUUUCCAUAAUAAAGAAAUUCUCCACGCCUAUAAAUAUUCUACUUUGGGUUAUGAUGUGCAAAAUGAGGUUUUAAUGUAUAAAAUAACCCUGGGGAAAGCCAGCGAGGCGAUGCAAUACUUCAGUUUAGUGUCAUCAUAAUAUGUUUUUAUUUAUGCGUUGCGCUAAAAUUAGUUUUUAACACAUAACCACAACAAACCUGUCGUUUUGGGGGAUUUUCUCAAACAUGUUUUAGGAAGCGUGGUAACUUGUAAUUAUGUGUGUAUGGAGAAUAUAUGUAAAUAUUUAUGUCCUGACCAAAGUUGGGUGUAAGAUCAAAAGUUAGGUCGAACUCGAAUAUGAAGAGGGAAAAACAAAGCAUAUUGGUUUUGAACAAAAAAUGGCAUUUAUUCAAAAUGCCAUAAAAUACACAAUAUAACGAUUAUAUACAUAACCUAACAUUCUACUUGUAAUACAAAUGACCCGAUUAACAUAACUGGGUGGCAAAACAUGCCAAAAGAAGAAACCGCCGCCCAGUAUAUUUUAAUAAAAAUAUGUACAUGGAUAAAGUUUUAAGCCAGCACUGUUGCAUGAAAACAGUGAAUGCGGUAGAAAAAAAUGCACAGAUUUUUUAUUACCUAUUUGUAUGUGUAUUGGAAAUAGCGGAAUUCAAAAAGAAAGGAAUAUGAAUAGAAAUUACAAAAAUAACUGAGGGGCAGCGUAGCAGUGUAUUAGGGGAGGAUAGUGAGGUCUUUGUGUUUUGGGGAUACUAAAAUAUUAAUAGAAGAGGAAGCAUAAAAUUGUAUAUAUUUGUUGUCAUAUUUUGGUGGUAAGGGUGUUAGUCGGUGGGUUCGAGGCAAAUGGAUAAUUAGAAACAAUAUGAGCUUUAACACGGUCGGUAAAUACUGGCUCUGCCUAUUUUUGGUGAGAGUGAGGUGAGUGGAAGAAAAAGCUAAUGAUACUUCCAAGGUGGCGCUAAGUAACAAAGAAAGACUACUUUCUGUAACAAUUAGGAGUCAUAUUUCAAUAAACGGGCAAUAUAGUUCCACCCAUAAUGACUGUAACUUACAUAUAAUUAAUUAUGAAGAUCGAUUUGCAGAGAUUUAGUGUGUUACGUUAGCGCUUUUGAGAGUAGUGAAAUAGAGCCUAUUCAAAACGAAAGUUGCAUUUUGGCCAUAUAUUCCGCCCCGAUUUGUAUUAACUUAGGAUUUCACAGAAAUAGUACCGGUUCGUUUGAAAAACAUACUUAAUUACUAAAUAAAUGAUGUGGUUUAUUGAUUGUUUUCAGUCGUCUAUGUACAUUUUUGACAUACGAGAUUGAGCCAAUGCCGCUCUGUAGGCGUUAAGAACGAGAGUUGGAGCCUAUGAGAUAUCUACCCCUUAGCAAGACCAAUCCUUAAGAAAGGAUUUUUGAUUAUAGGGACAGUAGUUAAAAAGGCAUUAUUAUAAAAUAUGCGGUUUGAUGAUUAUAGAGGCAGUUUAUAGUGAAGUGACAUCGAUGUCGGUGCGAGUACAUUGUAGCUCUCCUUAUUCUUUAAUUUGAGGGCUUAAAUUAUUUGAGCACAAUAACUGUAAAUAAGAAUAAUAUUUCGAUGAAACUUUGCUCAUAGGUAGCUUUCAAAGAUAGAAAGGCCCGGAUAUAUUAUGGCAGCUGGAGUUUAUUGUCAGGAUACGAGUUAUAAGACCCAGGGAAAUGCUACGCCUUUAAUAUCUUGAGCAGUGAAAUGGGUCCAAUCGCUAAGGUGACUAUGUCUGGACUAGCUGUCUUAGACUAGCUGACAAACUAUGUAGAAUGUCCUUUGUUAAAACGUAGAGGUAGUGAGGUCUAUAUAUCUCAUAUAUAAUAUUUUUCUUUGGCUGCCUUGCCUAAAUGAUUCGUGUAACAAUGAUUCGUAAAUGAUUUCAAUUAUGAGCUAGAUAAUUUCAGGGAUCAGUACGGAAUCCUGUUCGUGCCACUUAAAUUGUCGCCUCGCCAACACGCGACAACGCGAUAAUUAUCGCGUUUUCGCCCUGUCCAAAAACAUAUGUACAUGCGACAUUUAACAAUCCUCGCGAGGUUAAGAGGGCGAUAAUUAUCGUCUUAAUUGUCGCAUGUCUUUCUUAAUUCUCGCGUCGUGAAAUUGAAAUCCAGUAUACAUAGUUGUGAGAAUUAGUAAAACCUCGCAUUGUCGCAUUGUCGCCCGGUGUAGGGGGAUAAUUUCUUACUACAUCGCCGUGGUAUUGAUAAAUAGUACCCAGGAAGAAUUACAUCGAUCAAUUUGUCCGGAAAUUUAAUCCCAAGCGACAGUGAGUUGAGGUCAAAAUGAAUUUAAUUCAGAUUGAGACACAUUGUCACCAAACUUGAUGUAAGGCUAACGUUUAUCAGGACCUACCUUAGGAAUGUAUGUCAGGUCGCUAAGUAAAACUAAAGGUAUGUGACAUGAAAUACAGCGUCCCAUGAAUGUACUCCAACAAUAGUACUAUUUAGGCUAUCAUCAGUACCCAGGUUGUAGACGCUGGCAGCAUAUUCUGGAUUCCUGGGACACUUGGACGAUGCCCACAGUUCAACCUAAGGACACAAAUGUGUGGGCCAUAAUCACCGUUUCCAGAGGACUGUGUUCUCUUUGGAGACAAGAUUUAUCCCAACAAACAUUCGCCUAUGACGCCGUUCACAUCGGCACAGUUAGGACGACAAAAUGACCGAGAGCGUAGGAAGCGUGCCAAAUUCAACAAUCUUGUACAAAAGUGUCAAGCAACAAUUGAACAUUCAAUAUAGCAGAAAUGAAAUGCUACAAAGCUGUUACUCAGUAUCGUGGAAGCAGAGGAAAACACUGCCAAGAGUUAUAAAGAUAUGCUGUGCCUUGAUAAUUAGGCGGAAACAUUUAAAGUUAUUUGAUGUUUUAAAAAACUAAAACGAAUCCCUGUGGUUUUUGAAAUGGUUUUGUUUUGAGAAAUGCCCCAUAUUAUGACCAUAGUACAUACUACGUCUACAUUGUCCGUGUCCGCUGUAAAGGUUUAAAAUAAUUUCAUUUAUUUGAUUUAAAACGUGGAGUAUCGCACACAUGAUAUUUAUUGUUUACAUAUUUUGAAAAAUUCGGCGCGAGCAUCGGAAAUGACCUUCCUAUUAUUGAUUAUCGUUACGCUACGGUUGGUUGGCAAUAGAUUAUCGUCAUGCAUCUAUUUUUAAAUGUUGGGAAAUCACCUUCCUGUAUUAAGUGGAGUGGUCCAUUACAUAAGCGGAUGUGCAGCCUUAUAAAAAGCGUUUGCCUCAUACGUCUCAAUCAUAUUGUUUAAACAAACGUUGACAACUCAUCGAAAGAAGAACAAUAAGCUGAAGAUAUCUAUUGUCAUGCAAACUAGAGCCAUCGCUUACUUACUGAUAAGCCUUAUAGUCCUACAAAUGAUGUUAGAAACUGCUGGUCGGCCACAUAUGAACUGUUGCAGGUUUAGAAGAUGUCCACGAGGAAGAAGCUGCGUUAAUAUUGGUUCUCGAUGUCGUUGCAAGAGCAAUCGGGUUAUUUCGACUUUUUCGUUAUGCUUAAAGGACCUGCGAAAAACACAGACAUAAACACAGGUACUAGAACUGAACUGUCAGACCAGACUAGUGAUAUCGGUCGUUUCAACUGUGAUAAUUAAUUUAUAUAUACUGUGAUGUAAUCUCGUCGCGCCAUUAUUGGAGGCAAUAUGCUCUGGUCUCGUCACACUUCAAGUCUUGUACGGUACCUUUAGACUGCGAUGUGAAAAGAGUUCACUGAGAUACGAGCUCUGCUCGUAUGAUAUUUACAUGAACUGAGAUGUGACCUCUACAUAUAUGGAUGGAUUCCGACUUCUGCACCCUUUGCGAUAUGAUAAAAAGAUUGUUUUGCUGUGGUUAGACAACAGAAUUCCGCACGGCAUAUGAACUGUACGUGUUGCGAAAUGAACUAUUCUGUCCGGAAGUUCUCUACUGUUGUAUGUGCACUGCAUACUGUAACGUGAAAAAAAAACACGAAAUGCGAUGUACGAACUCAAAACACAAGUAAGAUGUGAAUUCAUCAAAAUGCAAUAUUUAAUAUCAAUUCUAGUCAUUCGGAUAGUGAUAUACCUGCCAUUGCGGUACAUCCUCUAGUCUUUAGUACAGUAACUGUGACAUUUAACUGCUUUUACUUACUGAAACAUUUUACAUAUCUUUUAAAUGAAAAUAUUUGUAAUUAUAUGAAUGCAUAUGUUUUACAUUUUACUUAUUGUUGUGUGUAUUACAUUAAUAUACAGCUGGUCAGUAUAUUUUAUUUUUAAAUCUAUCUCAUUAUAUUUUAUUGUGUCAAAUUUGUUUUACAUAGUUUCGUCAGGUUUUAUGGUAUUUUAUUUUAGUAAAAAUUUAAACUUUA